UACACACACACAACCUCAUUGUAGACUAUGAAUUGAGACAAAUCAAAUUUUCCUUUCUUCUUCUCGAGUUCUCCACUUUUCUGCUUCCCUUCUCUCUAAAUUCUUCCUUCCUCCUUUCUAUUUCUGUCUAAUUACUUAGAUACCAACAAUUUGGUAUCAGAUCAUCGAGAUUGGGUUGCUUCCAUGAUAAAAGGCGAAACUACUACUACGGGUACGAGCCAAGCUCCAGAUAUGAACGAGUUGCUUGGAGAUCUGGCUGUGCAGCAAGGUGAAUUUCUUAAGCGACAGGAGAUGCUGGAGCAAAGGGAUGUUAUUUACCUGCAGAUGAUGAGCGAAUUGAAGGGCUUCAACAACAGAAUCAACAGAAAGGGUCGCCUUUAGUUGAUAAUCGAGCUGAAGAAGUUCAACUGUCUGGAUCUAGAACUGAAGGUGUCAAUUCUCAAGGGGAAACUGCAUGUCCUAAAAGGCAAUCAUCCUAAAUGUCAAAUAUCUGGUACUAAAGCCACCAAUAAGCUGAAAAUGGAUGAUGCUCAGUUAUUCAUGCUCCAUAUUACACCCAUAGAAUCACUACCUUACCAAAUGUAUGCAUUACAACUACCUUCUAACAGUGACAUUCCUGAACUUUUAAACCCUUUACUCACUCAAUACCAACACCAUUUUUUUAACCUACUGCCCUUCCCCUUUCCAGAGGUAUCUUUGAUCACAAAAUUCAUCUACUUCCUCACACCAAACCUAUAACCUCAGACCAUACAUAUAUUCCUUUCUCAAGAAGGAUAUCAUAGAAAAGUUGAUAAAAGACAUGCUCACUCAGGGAAUUAUCCAUAUAGCAAUAGUCCAUUUGCUUCACCUGUUGUCCUUGUGGGAAAAAAAUAGUACUUGGAGGUUAUGUGUUGACUAUAGAGAGCUAAACCAACAAACCAUUAAGGAGAAGUUCCCUAUUACCAUCAUUGAUGAUCUAUUGGAUGAGCUUGGAGAAGCCAUGAUCUUAUCCAAAAUUGAUCUCAGAUCUGGCUAUCACCAGAUAAGAAUGCAUACUGAGGAUAUACCAAAAACUGCUUUUAGAAUACAUUUAGAUCACUAUGAAUACUUAGUGAUGCCAUUUGGUCUUACCAAUGCUCCAUCUACUUUUCAAAACUUGUCAUCAGCCAGUUUUGGCGGAAAAUUCUGUUGUAGUUACCAGCUUGUCUUUUGGCCUUUUCUUUAUUUUUGUAAUUUCUCAUUGUGACAUUUCAUUUGCGUGACUUGUUGUGUAUAUAUAUACACACACAUAUACAUAACCUCAUUGUAGUUUUAUGAAUUGAGAUAAAUCAAAUUUCCAUUUCUUCU
Long non-coding RNA from Lycium barbarum (goji berry), 1326 nucleotides. RefSeq lists it as uncharacterized. The record is from RefSeq and is a predicted model, not a curated record. NCBI's taxonomy places the organism in Eukaryota, Viridiplantae, Streptophyta, Magnoliopsida, Solanales, Solanaceae. The transcript has 2 exons.